This is a long non-coding RNA of Folsomia candida, 329 nucleotides long. RefSeq lists it as uncharacterized. The transcript is spliced from 2 exons. NCBI's taxonomy places the organism in Eukaryota, Metazoa, Arthropoda, Collembola, Entomobryomorpha, Isotomidae. The record is from RefSeq and is a predicted model, not a curated record.
CAGUCAAAUGCAGUCAUUUGCUUGAAUUUUCACCUGGAAAAGUUCAGUUGGAGUCAGUUGAUUUGUAUUAAACUCUGUGAAAACCUGUUUUCCAAGGUCUCAUCUGGAAUUCUGCGAUAAACCGUGUGCGUCCAGCAAGAUGUCUUUCGUUAUACCCCUGAGAGACGAUGGCUCUGUGCAUUUACUACAUAUUUCCACAAGUUAUUCCCAAUUUAAUGUUGUUAAUUAACAAUAAUUACCAAAUGAUAAUUUCUCCACGUUUAGCGUUUCUAAUCCACUGUCCAAUAAAAUGACACGGCUAAUCUGUUUGUGUUUAAUUACUUUGCAGA